GACAAUGGGGNGCAAGCCUGAUCCAGCCCAUAUCCGCGUUGGGUGAAGAAGGCCUUCGGGGUUUGUAAAGCCCUUUUGUUGGGAAAGAAAUCCAGCUGGCUAAUACCCGGUUGGGAUGACGGUACCCAAAGAAUAAGCACCGGCUAACUUCGUGCCAGCAGCCGCGGUAAUACGAAGGGUGCAAGCGUUACUCGGAAUUANUGGGCGUAAAGCGUGCGUAGGUGGUUGUUUAAGUCUGCUGUGAAAGCCCUGGGCUCAACCUGGGAAUUGCAGUGGAUACUGGGCGACUAGAGUGUGGUAGAGGGUAGUGGAAUUCCCGGUGUAGCAGUGAAAUGCGUAGAGAUCGGGAGGAACAUCCAUGGCGAAGGCAGCUACCUGGACCAACACUGACACUGAGGCACGAAAGCGUGGGGAGCAAACAGGAUUAGAUACCCUGGUAGUCCACGCCCUAAACGAUGCGAACUGGAUGUUGGGUGCAAUUUGGCACGCAGUAUCGAAGCUAACGCGUUAAGUUCAAGGNCUGGGGAGUNCGGUCGC
Molecule: ribosomal RNA, 537 nt
Filed under: uncultured bacterium
Lineage: Bacteria
Description: bacterial SSU rRNA
Rfam family: Bacterial small subunit ribosomal RNA
Source: RNAcentral